UCUACUCUACCUUCUACUCAG
This 21-nucleotide microRNA is filed under the name Mus musculus (house mouse). RNAcentral describes it as "mmu-miR-7060-3p". The record is from miRBase by way of RNAcentral. Lineage: Eukaryota; Metazoa; Chordata; Mammalia; Rodentia; Muridae.